Molecule: ribosomal RNA, 423 nt
Filed under: uncultured prokaryote
Description: bacterial SSU rRNA
Rfam family: Bacterial small subunit ribosomal RNA
Source: RNAcentral
UAACGAAUAUUCCGCAAUGCGCGAAAGCGUGACGGAGCAAUGCCGCGUGCAGGAUGAAGCAUCUAGGUGUGUAAACUGCUGUCAGGGACUAGGAAUUUUGACCAAUCCCAGAGGAAGAACCGGCUAACUCGGUGCCAGCAGCCGCGGUAAUACCGAGGGUUCGAGCGUUAAUCGGAAUCACUGGGCUUAAAGGGUGCGCAGGCGGACAGGCAAGUGCCUUGUGAAAUCCCACGGCUCAACCGUGGAAUGGCUCGGCAGACUGCUUGUCUUGAACCCGACAGGGGCCGUCGGAACUGUAGGUGGAGCGGUGAAAUGCGUAGAUAUCUACAGGAACGCCAAAGGCGAAGGCAGGCGGCUGGGUCGGUGUUGACGCUCAUGCACGAAAGCGUGGGUAGCGAACGGGAUUAGAUACCCCCGUAGUCC